UACAGAGGGGGCAAGCGUUGUUCGGAAUUACUGGGCGUAAAGGGCGCGUAGGCGGCCCGCUAAGUCGAACGUGAAAUCCCCGGGCUCAACCCGGGAACUGCGUCCGAUACUGGCAGGCUUGAAUCCGGGAGAGGGAUGCGGAAUUCCAGGUGUAGCGGUGAAAUGCGUAGAUACCUGGAGGAACACCGGUGGCGAAGGCGGCAUCCUGGACCGGCAUUGACGCUGAGGCGCGAAAGCCAGGGGAGCAAACGGG
This 253-nucleotide ribosomal RNA is filed under the name uncultured bacterium. RNAcentral describes it as "partial 16S ribosomal RNA". It matches the Rfam family "Bacterial small subunit ribosomal RNA", at positions 524 to 776 of the family's 1533-position model. The record is from RNAcentral.